This 310-nucleotide unclassified non-coding RNA is filed under the name plant metagenome. Its description in RNAcentral is "partial contains 5.8S ribosomal RNA, internal transcribed spacer 2, and large subunit ribosomal RNA". The stretch from base 1 to 105 matches the Rfam family "5.8S ribosomal RNA", at positions 50 to 154 of the family's 154-position model. The record is from RNAcentral.
GAAAUGCGAUAAGUAAUGUGAAUUGCAGAAUUCAGUGAAUCAUCGAAUCUUUGAACGCACAUUGCGCCCGCCAGUAUUCUGGCGGGCAUGCCUGUUCGAGCGUCAUUUCAACCAUCAAGCCCCCGGGCUUGUGUUGGGGACCUGCGGCUGCCGCAGGCCCCGAAAACCAGUGGCGGGCUCGCUGUCACACCGGGCGUAGUAGAUUUUUCGUCUCGCCCAGGGCGUGCUGCGGGUUCCGGCCGUUAAAAAGCCUCUCUUUUUAACCCGAGGUUGACCUCGGAUCAGGUAGGAAGACCCGCUGAACUUAAGC